CAGGCCACAGAGCAGGGCAUGCGUGCGCUGCUGGCCGUUGUGCGUGAGC
Molecule: non-coding RNA, 49 nt
Filed under: Karenia brevis
Lineage: Eukaryota; Dinophyceae; Gymnodiniales; Kareniaceae
Source: RNAcentral